UACGUAGGUGGCAAGCGUUGUCCGGAUUUAUUGGGCGUAAAGAGCUCGUAGGUGGUUCGGUAAGUCGGAUGUGAAAUCUCCAGGCUCAACCUGGAGGGGUCAUUCGAUACUGCCGUGACUAGAGGUCGGUAGGGGAGUGUGGAAUUCCUGGUGGAGCGGUGAAAUGCGCAGAUAUCAGGAGGAACACCGGUGGCGAAGGCGGGUCUCUGGGCCGAUAUUGACGCUGAGGCGCGAAAGCCAGGGGAGCAAACGGG
RNAcentral lists this ribosomal RNA (254 nucleotides) under uncultured bacterium. RNAcentral describes it as "partial 16S ribosomal RNA". It matches the Rfam family "Bacterial small subunit ribosomal RNA", at positions 524 to 776 of the family's 1533-position model. The record is from RNAcentral.